UAGCUUUGGGUGUUAAGCACAAAAAAUUUUGAUUUUUUAGGAAAUAAUUUAGUUUAUUAAAGUUAA
This 66-nucleotide transfer RNA is filed under the name Bothriocroton concolor (echidna tick). RNAcentral describes it as "tRNA-Gln". Lineage: Eukaryota; Metazoa; Arthropoda; Arachnida; Ixodida; Ixodidae. The record is from RNAcentral.